Molecule: long non-coding RNA, 313 nt
Organism: Labrus mixtus (cuckoo wrasse)
Lineage: Eukaryota; Metazoa; Chordata; Actinopteri; Labriformes; Labridae
Exons: 3
Source: RefSeq, a predicted model, not a curated record
CGACAGCUAUUUUGGCAUGCAUGUUUGUUGCUAUGCAACAGCAACGACAUCAUAGAGCAGCUCCACACUGCGCCUAGUGGUUAAAGUGGUCAUUUUUGAGGAUGUGCACAACCAACGUUCCAAACCACCGCAGAAAACACAAGGCUGAUGUCAUCAGAUGUGAAAUCAAAGGAGCAGCUGUGAAGUAAACGCUGGCUGAGGCAGCUUCCCUUUGUUUCGGAGGAAGCGGAUGCUGUAGACUCGCUGCAUGGCGGCCGGCAGGUAAGACAGCACAUCCGAGUCGGUGGUCAGCUUGGGCAGGCCGAGGUCGGGG